Molecule: ribosomal RNA, 142 nt
Filed under: uncultured eukaryote
Lineage: Eukaryota
Description: partial 18S ribosomal RNA
Rfam family: Eukaryotic small subunit ribosomal RNA
Source: RNAcentral
UGGUGGAGUGAUUUGUCUGGUUAAUUUCGUUAACGAACGAGACCCCUGCCUGCUAAAUAGCUUACCGAGUGAAUGUUCACUGGGUGAAGCUUCUUAGAGGGACGUGCAUUCUAUUAGAUGCAGGAAGAUAGGGGCAAUAACA